RNAcentral lists this ribosomal RNA (829 nucleotides) under Bacillus sp. cch_51. RNAcentral's name for it is "partial 16S ribosomal RNA". It matches the Rfam family "Bacterial small subunit ribosomal RNA", at positions 639 to 1463 of the family's 1533-position model. The record is from RNAcentral. Lineage: Bacteria; Bacillati; Bacillota; Bacilli; Caryophanales; Bacillaceae.
AANUUGAGUGCAGGAGAGNAAANCGGAAUUCCCACGUGAAGCGNUGAAAUGCGUAGAGAUGUGGAGGAACACNANUGGCGAAGGCGGCUUUUUUGGACUGUAACUGACGUUGAGGCGCGAAAGCGUGGGGAGCAAACAGGAUUAGAUACCUUGUUAGUCCACNCNGUAAACGAUGAGUGCUAGNUGUAAGGGGUUUCGAUACCCUUGGUGCCGAAGUAAACACAAUAAGCACUCCGCNUGGGGAGUACGNUCGCAAGAGUGAAANUCAAAGGAAUUGACGGGGACCCGCACAAGCAGUGGAGUAUGUGGUUUAAUUNGAAGCAACGCGAAGANCCUUACCAGNUCUUGACAUCCCCCUGAAAGCCCNAGAGAUGGGGUCNUCNUUCGGGACAGGGGAGACAGGUGGUGCAUGGUNNUNGUCAGNUCGUNUCGUGAGAUGUUGGGUUAAGUCCCGCAACGAGCGCAACCCUUGAANUUAGUUGCCAGCAUUCAGUUGGGCACUCUAAGUUGACUGCCGGUGACAAACCGGAGGAAGGUGGGGAUGACGUCAAAUCAUCAUGCCCCUUAUGACCUGGGCUACACACGUACUACAAUGGCCGGUACAACGGGAAGCGAAGUCGCGAGAUGGAGCGAAUCCUUACAAGCCGGUCUCAGUUCGGAUUGCAGGCUGCAACUCGCCUGCAUGAAGUCGGAAUUGCUAGUAAUCGCGGAUCAGCAUGCCGCGGUGAAUACGUUCCCGGGUCUUGUACACACCGCCCGUCACACCACGAGAGUUUACAACACCCGAAGUCGGUGGGUAACCCGNCAAGGGAGCCAGCCGCUCUAUUGU